Molecule: ribosomal RNA, 31 nt
Filed under: Secamone alpini
Lineage: Eukaryota; Viridiplantae; Streptophyta; Magnoliopsida; Gentianales; Apocynaceae
Description: partial 26S ribosomal RNA
Source: RNAcentral
GCGACCGCCACGUUUGCGACCCCAGGUCAGG